GCCGAUGCGGUGCCUUUUCUGCACCGGUUCCCGAGCGGGGGAAAAUGAAAGGGCACGAAAUGAACAUGAACGGAGAAGAAAAUUAACGAAACACACAAUGGGAAAUGAAGGAACAGCUGUCCACACGUGCACAGUUCCAGUGGCUACCACGAGGUAGCAGGUCUACUGGCGGCGUCCCUUCCUUGAAUCGCGUUGUUGUGUUUAGCACUUGUGUGUUUUUGUGUUUGUUUUGUGUUGUGUUUUGUAGGGACAUCCCCUUACAGACAGCCCCUGAUGUCCCUUGGCCAAUUAAGGCACCAAGAGGUGACAUGCCAGACGGAGAUUCCCUUCGCAGACCUUCCCUGCUGUCUCUGUGACUGAAAGCGUUAGCAGUUCUCCCGAGUCGGGGAUUUGCAUCACCUUCAUCACCAGGGAGCAGCACCGGAACAAAUCAAAUUACAAAAAGGGGACGUGACAAAUUAACGUACGCGCAGUCCGAC
This is a long non-coding RNA of Ornithodoros turicata, 479 nucleotides long. RefSeq lists it as uncharacterized. The record is from RefSeq and is a predicted model, not a curated record. Lineage: Eukaryota; Metazoa; Arthropoda; Arachnida; Ixodida; Argasidae. The transcript has 4 exons.